RNAcentral lists this ribosomal RNA (333 nucleotides) under uncultured Bacillota bacterium. RNAcentral describes it as "bacterial SSU rRNA". It matches the Rfam family "Bacterial small subunit ribosomal RNA", at positions 28 to 351 of the family's 1533-position model. Lineage: Bacteria; Bacillati; Bacillota. The record is from RNAcentral.
GACGAACGCUGGCGGCGUGCCUAAUACAUGCAAGUCGAGCGGAUUGAUGGGAGCUUGCUCCCUGAUAUCAGCGGCGGACGGGUGAGUAACACGUGGGCAACCUGCCUAUAAGAGGGGGAUAACAUCCGGAAACGGGUGCUAAUACCGCAUAGUUUUUCUGAUCGCAUGAUCGGGAAAGAAGACGGCCUUUGUGCUGUCGCUUAUGGAUGGACCCGCGGCGUAUUAGUUAGUUGGUGAGGUAAUGGCUCACCAAGACGAUGAUACGUAGCCGACCUGAGAGGGUGAUCGGCCACAUUGGGACUGAGACACGGCCCAAACUCCUACGGGAGGCUG